This 435-nucleotide ribosomal RNA is filed under the name uncultured bacterium. Its description in RNAcentral is "partial 16S ribosomal RNA". It matches the Rfam family "Bacterial small subunit ribosomal RNA", at positions 355 to 782 of the family's 1533-position model. The record is from RNAcentral.
UAGGGAAUCUUCCACAAUGGACGCAAGUCUGAUGGAGCAACGCCGCGUGAGUGAAGAAGGCUUUCGGGUCGUAAAACUCUGUUAUUGAAGAAGAACGUGUGUGACAGUAACUGGUCAUGCAGUGACGGUAUUCAAUCAGAAAGUCACGGCUAACUACGUGCCAGCAGCCGCGGUAAUACGUAGGUGGCAAGCGUUGUCCGGAUUUAUUGGGCGUAAAGCGAGUGCAGGCGGUCUUUUAAGUCUGAUGUGAAAGCCUUCGGCUUAACCGAAGAAGGGCAUCGGAAACUGGGAGACUUGAGUGCAGAAGAGGAGAGUGGAACUCCAUGUGUAGCGGUGAAAUGCGUAGAUAUAUGGAAGAACACCAGUGGCGAAGGCGGCUCUCUGGUCUGUAACUGACGCUGAGGCUCGAAAGNAUGGGUAGCGAACAGGAUUAGA